UACAUUAUUGUGCACAAUAAUUUUCAAAUACAUAAUUAAUUUAUGUUGAUUCUGUUUUUUUAGGACAACCUGCGUAGUUAAACAGCCAAAAUGCAAAACUUAAAAUAAAAUGCACCUGGCUGGUUCCAUUUUCGUUGACAACAAAACAUAACUCUUCUUCUUUUGUUUUUUUCUUUCAUCCAUGUCAUGUGUUCAUUUGAUGAAUGAUCAUUCUCAUCAGUUGGAAGCUAUGAAUUUACAAUUCGUUUGUGGAGAGAACGCACAGACGUUUUGGAUCGAUAAUUUCCUCUAGUACUUUUUGCCUCGUAAGAACUUGGAGAUAGCGCUUGCAAUGGUGGAUAUAGUCAAGUUUCUUCAAAAAUUUUUUAUAUAAUAUUGGUUUAAAGAAGUUUUGAUCUAUGGUAUAUAACUUAGCAAGGGAAAAUGGCACGUGCGGCGAUAAGAAGUUUGAAUGAAUUUCUACCUCAACGUCUUUCAUGAAUGUAUUCUGAGAAAGAGCAUAUCUUGCUGGAAGAACAAAUGUGCUUUUCUACUUUCUUGCAUUAUCAUUGUCAUCCCUACAUUGGAAAGAAAACAAAAAAAAACAACAAAAUAUAUUCUUGAUAAAAUAGGAAAUAUCAGUGAGAAAUUGAAGAUAAUCACAACCUAUAUAUGCUGAGUGAAACAGCUAAAGGACUCAUUCAGGGCUCAUACAUGAUUACAAUGCAUUAAUUCAUACCUGAGAAAAAGCAUUGUAAAAUGGAUUGUGCUGUGUGUUACAUGUCAUCUUUGCCCAAUAAGAAUAAAAACAGAACUACCCGACAACUCUGA
Long non-coding RNA from Xenia sp. Carnegie-2017, 810 nucleotides. RefSeq lists it as uncharacterized. The transcript has 2 exons. The record is from RefSeq and is a predicted model, not a curated record. Lineage: Eukaryota; Metazoa; Cnidaria; Anthozoa; Malacalcyonacea; Xeniidae.